RNAcentral lists this ribosomal RNA (253 nucleotides) under uncultured bacterium. RNAcentral describes it as "partial 16S ribosomal RNA". It matches the Rfam family "Bacterial small subunit ribosomal RNA", at positions 524 to 776 of the family's 1533-position model. The record is from RNAcentral.
UACGUAGGGGGCGAGCGUUGUCCGGAAUUAUUGGGCGUAAAGCGCGCGCAGGCGGUUCUUUAAGUCUGAUGUGAAAGCCCACGGCUUAACCGUGGAGGGUCAUUGGAAACUGGAGGACUUGAGUGCAGAAGAGGAGAGUGGAAUUCCACGUGUAGCGGUGAAAUGCGUAGAGAUGUGGAGGAACACCAGUGGCGAAGGCGGCUCUCUGGUCUGUAACUGACGCUGAGGCGCGAAAGCGUGGGGAGCAAACAGG